CCUACGGGUGGCAGCAGUGAGGAAUAUUGGUCAAUGGGCGCGAGCCUGAACCAGCCAAGUCGCGUGAGGGAAGACGGUCCUAUGGAUUGUAAACCUCUUUUGUCGGGGAGCAAACGCCGCCACGCGUGGCGUUCCGAGCGUUCCCGAAGAAAAAGCAUCGGAUAACCCCGUGCCAGCCGCCCCGGUAAUACGGAGGAAGCGAGCGUUACCCGGUGUUAUUGGGUUUAAAGGGUGCGCAGGCGGAAGUUCAAGUCAGCGGUAAAAUUGAGGGGCUCAACCCCGUCGAGCCGUUGAAACUGGUGGGCUGGAGUGAGCGAGAAGUAGGCGGAAUGCGUGGUGUAGCGGUGAAAUGCAUAGAUAUCACGCAGAACUCCGAUUGCGAAGGCAGCAUACCGGCGCUCAACUGACGCUGAUGCACGAAAGUGUGGGUAUCGAACAGGAUUAGAUACCCGGGUAGUC
This 459-nucleotide ribosomal RNA is filed under the name uncultured bacterium. Its description in RNAcentral is "partial 16S ribosomal RNA". It matches the Rfam family "Bacterial small subunit ribosomal RNA", at positions 338 to 795 of the family's 1533-position model. The record is from RNAcentral.